Pseudophryne corroboree (corroboree frog) is the source of this 380-nucleotide long non-coding RNA. RefSeq lists it as uncharacterized. The transcript has 3 exons. NCBI's taxonomy places the organism in Eukaryota, Metazoa, Chordata, Amphibia, Anura, Myobatrachidae. The record is from RefSeq and is a predicted model, not a curated record.
AGGCAAUCUGCACCACAAACAUAAUGAAGACUGUGUUCUAGUAGUGAUCUCGUACAUAGGGAUCUUUUCUCAGCAGUAGCCUUAGCUGUCAGAUCUGCCCUGCUAGCUGCCAUACUGCUGGGGGGCUCAGUCUGCAUCCCAGUGCUGGUAAGGGAGAUGCGGCAAGGAUCCCUCAGCUGCCUGUCUGCAGGGAAGAGAAUGGUCACCAUGGCAAUGGGCGAGGUAUGGUGACGCAAUUGGUGGGUAUCUUCAUACCGGACCCGCACUGUGCAGUGGCUACACGUGGUGAUGUAAGUUCCGGGGACCUGACGUCACAAUCCCCCAAGCAUGAAAACUAAAGAUGGCGCAAUCCUCCACAAUCUGCAAAUCAACCAUGGGCC